Molecule: non-coding RNA, 1451 nt
Organism: Paramuricea clavata
Lineage: Eukaryota; Metazoa; Cnidaria; Anthozoa; Malacalcyonacea; Plexauridae
Source: the annotation of a GenBank genome assembly
GUUAUACCUGCCCGUCAACUGAAAUCCCAAAAUUACGUCAUUGUAAACAAAGAAUUGGUUGUUUUAUUAACUGAAAAAAAACGCAGCGUUUUCGAAUUGCGUUCGGUGUUCGCCUUAUAACGCGUGUUACCACGCGCUGCACCGGAAUCGCAGGCCGCAGAUUGGAUUCCUGCCUGAGGGCAUGUAGUUGCAUUUUUUGCAACUGCUCCUGUUCAGGUCUAAAAAUAUGUAAAGUUGACACCAAAAAACUGCGGACCGGAUUGACAGGGAUUCAACUACCUGAAAAAUACAAAACUUUUCGAGCGAAGGCCCGGUCUUCGUUGGGAUGGUUGGCAAGGAUCAGAAACUAAGUACGUGAGCUUUUGUAAUAGUGAAUAUAAAAGCGAUCAUGUGACAAAAAAGUGUAAACAAAAGAGGUAAAUCACAUUACAGAAUAUAUUACUAAUUCAGGAAUAAGAUGAGAAUUCAUUAUGAGGAAUAUAAUGAAAAAUAAGGAAUAAGAUAAGAAUUCAUUAUGAGGAACAUAAUGAAAAAUAGGGAAUAAGGUAUCCCACGGGGCCGGAUGAAUCCAAAACCGUACUCAAAUUCCGGUUUCACCUUGCGUUCACACUGGGCGUUCAAGAAUAUUUUGCGCGGUAGAGGAUUGGGAUUGAAACUGACUGAUGCCAUCUGCGCAUGCAUACGUAAAUAGUUCCGGAACCACAAUUCAUACAUUCAAUUGAUGAUUCUCCUUAUUACGUUUUCGUAGCGCUUUGCAUUGUGGUUGUAGUACUUGUAGUGGUAUCACUGACUGAUAUUCAAGAUGGCUUAUUUUUUGUCCUGACCCAUGCAAGAACGUUUAAAAAAAGCUAGGGUCAGGUGCGCGAUAGCCAACAGCAAAAUAUUCGCCAAAACAUUCAAUAUUUUUAAUCGAGGCCGCUCUCUUUAUCAGUGAUACUACAAUAACCACAAUGGAAAGCGCUACGAAAACGUAAUAAGGGGGGAAUCUAGUAUUCAUCCGCUUCCGUGUGAACACUUUUCGUUUCGUAAUUAAUCCGGUUCCGUGUUAAUGUAGACUUAAAGUUAGGCAAUAUUUCCAUCUUGAUUUCUAUCUAUUUAUUUCAUUGCAAGCAGUAUAGUUUAAGUCUGAGAAUAAUACUAUGGUUGUUUUAUAUGCAGGUUUUUACUGUAUUCUUUGUCUAUCCGUGGAUUCCUAGACCUAGUACAUUUCAUCGUAUAACUUAUAUGUACAUACAUUGCGAGGAUGAAACGGACGGUUUUCUCCUUAUAUUUCAAUUCCCCCUCACUCAUUGUUGUUUUAUGUGACUAUAAUAGCUGGAAAUCUGGCACAGCAAUUAACACUGUGAAACAACAUUGACUGGGGGGGGGAAUUGACAUGCUUAAUAAAACAAAAAUAAAUUCAGGGGAAAACUAGUGCAAACAUUCAGUCGUUUUACAAGAUUUUGGCGAGG